GGGUUGUGAGGUUAAGCGACUAAGCGUACACGGUGGAUGCCCUGGCAGUCAGAGGCGAUGAAGGACGUGCUAAUCUGCGAUAAGCGUCGGUAAGGUGAUAUGAACCGUUAUAACCGGCGAUUUCCGAAUGGGGAAACCCAGUGUGUUUCGACACACUAUCAUUAACUGAAUCCAUAGGUUAAUGAGGCGAACCGGGGGAACUGAAACAUCUAAGUACCCCGAGGAAAAGAAAUCAACCGAGAUUCCCCCAGUAGCGGCGAGCGAACGGGGAGCAGCCCAGAGCCUGAAUCAGUGUGUGUGUUAGUGGAAGCGUCUGGAAAGGCGCGCGAUACAGGGUGACAGCCCCGUACACAAAAAUGCACAUGCUGUGAGCUCGAUGAGUAGGGCGGGACACGUGGUAUCCUGUCUGAAUAUGGGGGGACCAUCCUCCAAGGCUAAAUACUCCUGACUGACCGAUAGUGAACCAGUACCGUGAGGGAAAGGCGAAAAGAACCCCGGCGAGGGGAGUGAAAAAGAACCUGAAACCGUGUACGUACAAGCAGUGGGAGCACGCUUAGGCGUGUGACUGCGUACCUUUUGUAUAAUGGGUCAGCGACUUAUAUUCUGUAGCAAGGUUAACCGAAUAGGGGAGCCGAAGGGAAACCGAGUCUUAACUGGGCGUUAAGUUGCAGGGUAUAGACCCGAAACCCGGUGAUCUAGCCAUGGGCAGGUUGAAGGUUGGGUAACACUAACUGGAGGACCGAACCGACUAAUGUUGAAAAAUUAGCGGAUGACUUGUGGCUGGGGGUGAAAGGCCAAUCAAACCGGGAGAUAGCUGGUUCUCCCCGAAAGCUAUUUAGGUAGCGCCUCGUGAAUUCAUCUCUGGGGGUAGAGCACUGUUUCGGCAAGGGGGUCAUCCCGACUUACCAACCCGAUGCAAACUGCGAAUACCGGAGAAUGUUAUCACGGGAGACACACGGCGGGUGCUAACGUCCGUCGUGAAGAGGGAAACAACCCAGACCGCCAGCUAAGGUCCCAAAGUCAUGGUUAAGUGGGAAACGAUGUGGGAAGGCCCAGACAGCCAGGAUGUUGGCUUAGAAGCAGCCAUCAUUUAAAGAAAGCGUAAUAGCUCACUGGUCGAGUCGGCCUGCGCGGAAGAUGUAACGGGGCUAAACCAUGCACCGAAGCUGCGGCAGCGACGCUUAUGCGUUGUUGGGUAGGGGAGCGUUCUGUAAGCCUGCGAAGGUGUGCUGUGAGGCAUGCUGGAGGUAUCAGAAGUGCGAAUGCUGACAUAAGUAACGAUAAAGCGGGUGAAAAGCCCGCUCGCCGGAAGACCAAGGGUUCCUGUCCAACGUUAAUCGGGGCAGGGUGAGUCGACCCCUAAGGCGAGGCCGAAAGGCGUAGUCGAUGGGAAACAGGUUAAUAUUCCUGUACUUGGUGUUACUGCGAAGGGGGGACGGAGAAGGCUAUGUUGGCCGGGCGACGGUUGUCCCGGUUUAAGCGUGUAGGCUGGUUUUCCAGGCAAAUCCGGAAAAUCAAGGCUGAGGCGUGAUGACGAGGCACUACGGUGCUGAAGCAACAAAUGCCCUGCUUCCAGGAAAAGCCUCUAAGCAUCAGGUAACAUCAAAUCGUACCCCAAACCGACACAGGUGGUCAGGUAGAGAAUACCAAGGCGCUUGAGAGAACUCGGGUGAAGGAACUAGGCAAAAUGGUGCCGUAACUUCGGGAGAAGGCACGCUGAUAUGUAGGUGAAGUCCCUUGCGGAUGGAGCUGAAAUCAGUCGAAGAUACCAGCUGGCUGCAACUGUUUAUUAAAAACACAGCACUGUGCAAACACGAAAGUGGACGUAUACGGUGUGACGCCUGCCCGGUGCCGGAAGGUUAAUUGAUGGGGUCAGCGCAAGCGAAGCUCUUGAUCGAAGCCCCGGUAAACGGCGGCCGUAACUAUAACGGUCCUAAGGUAGCGAAAUUCCUUGUCGGGUAAGUUCCGACCUGCACGAAUGGCGUAAUGAUGGCCAGGCUGUCUCCACCCGAGACUCAGUGAAAUUGAACUCGCUGUGAAGAUGCAGUGUACCCGCGGCAAGACGGAAAGACCCCGUGAACCUUUACUAUAGCUUGACACUGAACAUUGAGCCUUGAUGUGUAGGAUAGGUGGGAGGCUUUGAAGUGUGGACGCCAGUCUGCAUGGAGCCGACCUUGAAAUACCACCCUUUAAUGUUUGAUGUUCUAACGUUGACCCGUAAUCCGGGUUGCGGACAGUGUCUGGUGGGUAGUUUGACUGGGGCGGUCUCCUCCUAAAGAGUAACGGAGGAGCACGAAGGUUGGCUAAUCCUGGUCGGACAUCAGGAGGUUAGUGCAAUGGCAUAAGCCAGCUUGACUGCGAGCGUGACGGCGCGAGCAGGUGCGAAAGCAGGUCAUAGUGAUCCGGUGGUUCUGAAUGGAAGGGCCAUCGCUCAACGGAUAAAAGGUACUCCGGGGAUAACAGGCUGAUACCGCCCAAGAGUUCAUAUCGACGGCGGUGUUUGGCACCUCGAUGUCGGCUCAUCACAUCCUGGGGCUGAAGUAGGUCCCAAGGGUAUGGCUGUUCGCCAUUUAAAGUGGUACGCGAGCUGGGUUUAGAACGUCGUGAGACAGUUCGGUCCCUAUCUGCCGUGGGCGCUGGAGAAUUGAGGGGGGCUGCUCCUAGUACGAGAGGACCGGAGUGGACGCAUCACUGGUGUUCGGGUUGUCAUGCCAAUGGCACUGCCCGGUAGCUAAAUGCGGAAGAGAUAAGUGCUGAAAGCAUCUAAGCACGAAACUUGCCCCGAGAUGAGUUCUCCCUGACUCCUUGAGAGUCCUGAAGGAACGUUGAAGACGACGACGUUGAUAGGCCGGGUGUGUAAGCGCAGCGAUGCGUUGAGCUAACCGGUACUAAUGAACCGUGAGGCUUAACCUUACAACGCCGAAGGUGUUU
Molecule: ribosomal RNA, 2931 nt
Filed under: Escherichia coli
Lineage: Bacteria; Pseudomonadati; Pseudomonadota; Gammaproteobacteria; Enterobacterales; Enterobacteriaceae
Description: bacterial LSU rRNA
Rfam family: Bacterial large subunit ribosomal RNA
Source: RNAcentral